GAAAUGCGAUAAGUAAUGUGAAUUGCAGAAUUCAGUGAAUCAUCGAAUCUUUGAACGCACAUUGCGCCCGCCAGUAUUCUGGCGGGCAUGCCUGUCCGAGCGUCAUUUCAACCAUCAAGCCCCCGGGCUUGUGUUGGGGACCUGCGGCUGCCCGCAGGCCCUGAAAACCAGUGGCGGGCUCGCUGUCACACCGAGCGUAGUAGCAAUCACCUCGCUCAGGGCGUGCUGCGGGUUCCGGCCGUUAAACAGCCUUACAAAACCCAAGGUUGACCUCGGAUCAGGUAGGAAGACCCGCUGAAUUUAAGC
RNAcentral lists this unclassified non-coding RNA (306 nucleotides) under plant metagenome. RNAcentral's name for it is "partial contains 5.8S ribosomal RNA, internal transcribed spacer 2, and large subunit ribosomal RNA". The stretch from base 1 to 105 matches the Rfam family "5.8S ribosomal RNA", at positions 50 to 154 of the family's 154-position model. The record is from RNAcentral.